AUAGUAAUGCAUGACAUGGUAAAAAAUAGCAGCAGUAAUAUGAUGAGCAAUACCAAACAACAUGGUAAAUAGGUUCAGCAAAUACACUUGGCGGAACAUGGAUGCUAACUAAUAAUCCCCUCAACGCACAAUCACACGCUAGCACGCACACACACUUCAUGAAAAGCACAGUGCACACUAAGAUGAAUGCAAGGAACCCUAAACAGAGAGGCACGCACUGGAAUCCCUCCCUCGCCGCCUCCUCCCCUCCUGCGCUGCACCUCGCCUCCCUCCUCCCCUCCCACGAUGCACCUCGCCUCCCUCCUCUCCUCCAGGUGCUGCUCCUCGCCGCCACCGCACAGAGACGCCCGCCAGCGCCGCCGUGGUGCCCAUCGUCGAGGAAGAACAGAGGACGUCGCGGCGAGGAAGUGGUUCGCAUGGGCGCCGCCAGGGAGCCGGAAGCUGAAGCCGCUCAGCCUCACUGAGCACCACCAUGGACCACUGGAACCAGAUCCGCCGCCACCACCCGCCAACAGGAAGCCUAGCCGCUCCUCUCCAUGCGCAACGACCGCUGCGCGGGGGGUGGGGAGGGGCAGGGGGUGAGGGGCGUCCGCCGCCACCGCGGCCGCCCGCUGCUCCGCCGCCGUGGCCGCCUGUCGCUCCGCCGCCGCGCCCUGCUGCAAUCAGGAGAAGUGGAGACGGCGAAGAGAAGUGGCGGGCGAACAGGAAGAGUCGGGAGGAGGAAAAGAACAAGAGAGAGAGGGGGAGGGGGUUUCCCGAGUGAGUUGAUCCGACCGAGCGCGCCGAUAAGACCAAGUGGGGCACGUGCAACACUUGGAAUCUCCGAACAUAAUAUGCACUAAUGUCCGGUCUCCAGAACUCAAGAGCCAAGUUACCUUUUCUUCAGCUAGGGACCAGC
RNAcentral lists this long non-coding RNA (898 nucleotides) under Brachypodium distachyon (stiff brome). RNAcentral's name for it is "long non-coding RNA (BDIS_LNC003344)". The record is from RNAcentral. Lineage: Eukaryota; Viridiplantae; Streptophyta; Magnoliopsida; Poales; Poaceae.